RNAcentral lists this transfer RNA (78 nucleotides) under Calliotropis micraulax. RNAcentral's name for it is "tRNA-Pro". It matches the Rfam family "tRNA". From Rfam's summary of the family: Transfer RNA (tRNA) molecules are approximately 80 nucleotides in length. Lineage: Eukaryota; Metazoa; Mollusca; Gastropoda; Seguenziida; Calliotropidae. The record is from RNAcentral.
CGAGAAAUAGUUUAAUUGUUAGAAUGUUGGCAUUGGAAGCCAGGGGUUGGGCGGGAGUGAUUUAAGUCCAUUUCUUGA